RNAcentral lists this long non-coding RNA (1265 nucleotides) under Anolis carolinensis (green anole). Its description in RNAcentral is "lncRNA (ENSACAG00000045008.1)". Lineage: Eukaryota; Metazoa; Chordata; Lepidosauria; Squamata; Anolidae. The record is from RNAcentral.
AUGGCUUCAAGAGUCCCCUGUGCAGAUAUAAACAUAUCAGAAGAUUCAUCUGGCAUUAAAAACAAAGAUUCCAUUGAGCAGGAAGAUCACCAACUCUGCCCUCCCUGGCAUCGGACUAUGCUGCAGGUUGUAUGGGCAGGAAACAUCCUUUUCCUGGUGACAGUGAUAGUGAUGCGUGCUUUGGUUGUGAAUAAAUCUCUUCAAGAACAGACUGUGGAUGCAAAUGCACAUCAAGGCAAUGAAGGAAACAACACACUGGAGACUUUCAAGUUUUUGCUAAAACAAAAUCUGUGUGAAACUUCAACAUGGACAGAGAACGGAAGUUGUGCUCUGUGCCCUGAGGCAUGGCUUCUGCACAAAAACAAAUGCUACUGGUUUUCUAAUUCAAUGCAGUCUUGGGGAAAAAGCAAGGAAAAUUGUUUAACAAGGAAAACUCAGCUAGUUGUGUUGUAUGACCAGGAUGUGAAGGUAAAACAUUCUGACAGUUUUUUGUUGUGGUUGUUCUAUAUGUUCAAGUUGAGUUCAACCCUAUGACCACCCUUUAAAUGAGAAUUUCUCAAAGUGCUUUCUCCAUAUUUUUCUUCUGCCUUGCACUUUAUGCAGCGGUAUCAUCGUUUUCCAGUGAGCCACAGCUUCUCAUAACACAUCCAAGGUACAGCGUAAACUUAGUUAUUUUUAUAUCUAGUGGGAGAUCAGGCUUAAUUUGCUCCAAGAAUAUUCAUCACUCUUAUUCUUUUAUACUUCAAUUCGAAGCAGACUGAAAUACUAUUACAUGGAUCCAAUCAUGAACAAUCUUUUUACAUAUUUUAAAAGCCUGCACAUAUUUUGAGAUGCAUGUAUCUAGGGGCUUGUAUACAUUGGCCCCAACCUCUGCUGUGGAUCACUGGAUGUUUUUUGUUUUAAACUGACUUUUGUCCACAUUUAGCAAAGUUGGGGACUACUCUGGUACCCUAAUAUACCUAUGGUGCUGUUGUAUGCUUUUAAUUCAUUUCUGACAUAGGAUGACCCUAAGGUGGUCAUUUCAUGGGUUUUCUUAGUAACAUUGGUUUAGAGAAGGUUUGCCAUUGUCUUCUUAUCAGGCUGAAAGAGUGUGACUUCUCCAUGAUCACCACCAUGGCUGAGCAGGUAUACAAAACCUGCUGCCAUAGAAUUGUAUUAAACACACAAACCGCUACAUUGUACUGGCUCACACAUAAAUUUUAAGGCAAGUUUGACCUCUGUCUUGCACGGAAGUGAACUGACUGGCAGAAAUCACUACUGAAAAG